RNAcentral lists this small RNA (1161 nucleotides) under Pongo abelii (Sumatran orangutan). RNAcentral's name for it is "retained intron". Lineage: Eukaryota; Metazoa; Chordata; Mammalia; Primates; Hominidae. The record is from RNAcentral.
CUUUCGGUAAAUGACAGUGGCUCAGGAAACCAAGGGGCCCACACAGGAAGGAGCCGAGUGGGACUUUCCUCUCGCUGCCUCCCAGCUCUGCCCUCCCUUCGAAGGCCCAGGGUCCCUGCCCGCUAGGCAAGUUGCACUCAUGGCACCUCCAAGUGAAGAGACGCCCCUGAUCCCUCAGCGUUCAUGCAGCCUCUUGUCCACGGAGGCUGGUGCCCUGCAUGUGCUGCUGCCCGCUCGGGGCCCCGGGCCCCCCCAGCACCUAUCUUUCUCCUUUGGGGACCACUUGGCUGAGGACCUGUGCGUGCAGGCUGCCAAGGCCAGCGCUUUUACUUCCCCAAUUGGUUUGGGCUGGAGAAGUGCCACCGCUUUGGGCUACGCAAGGAUUUGGCCAGCGCUAUCCUUGACCUGCCAGUCCUGGAGCACCUCUUUGCCCAGCACCGCAGUGACCUGGUGAGUGGGCGCCUCCCCGUGGGCCUCAGUCUCAAGGAGCAGGGUGAGUGUCUCAGCCUGGCCGUGUUGGACCUGGCCCGGAUGGCGCGAGAGCAGUCCCAGCGGCCGGGAGAGCUGCUGAAGACUAUCAGGUGAGAGCCACCAGGCUGUGGGGACGGCCUCUGCUUGGGAGUGAGCAAGGUGGGCUCCAUCGGGGCUUUGCCGGACUCCCACCAUGGAGUUCUCCUGCAAGCUUUCAGGGUGUUCCUAUGACCCAGGGCCUCCCACGAACCCAGCCCUCUCCACCCCCAGGCUCCAGCUGGACAGACACCUGACCUCCCCCAGCUAUAAGGCCUGUGGGGUCCCUGUCCGACCUGUGGGCGCCAAUGGCCCUCCCCUAUUCUGAGGUCCGGUCCUCAUACCUGACCCUGAAUGAGAGUGUGUGUGUGCCUCGUGCCCCAACUGGGGCCGCACCCCAGCCCCUGGGCUUGUGUGUGUCCCCGCGGGGACCCAUCCCGACGCUGAGGGCCGGCUCCCUCCCCUCCAACCCCUGCAGCUACAAGGCCUGCCUACCCCCAAGCCUGCGCGACCUGAUCCAGGGCCUGAGCUUCGUGACGCGGAGGCGUAUUCGGAGGACGGUGCGCAGGGCCCUGCGCCGCGUGGCCGCCUGCCAGGCAGACCGGCACUCGCUCAUGGCCAAGUACAUCAUGGACCUGGAGCGGCUGGAUCCAG